AAAAAGGCUUUAAUUAAAGCCACCAAAUAAAAGUCAAAGUCACCU
Molecule: non-coding RNA, 45 nt
Organism: Dipodomys ordii (Ord's kangaroo rat)
Lineage: Eukaryota; Metazoa; Chordata; Mammalia; Rodentia; Heteromyidae
Source: Rfam